RNAcentral lists this ribosomal RNA (266 nucleotides) under uncultured Staphylococcus sp. Its description in RNAcentral is "partial 16S ribosomal RNA". It matches the Rfam family "Bacterial small subunit ribosomal RNA", at positions 96 to 355 of the family's 1533-position model. Lineage: Bacteria; Bacillati; Bacillota; Bacilli; Caryophanales; Staphylococcaceae. The record is from RNAcentral.
CGGCGGACGGGUGAGUAACGCGUGGGUAACCUACCUAUAAGACUGGGACAACUUCGGGAAACCGGAGCUAAUACAGGAUAAGAUAUCGAACCGCAUGGUUCGAUAGUGAAAGAUGGUUUUGCUAUCACUUAUAGAUGGACCCGCGCCGUAUUAGCUAGUUGGUGAGGUAACGGCUCACCAAGGCAACGAUACGUAGCCGACCUGAGAGGGUGAUCGGCCACACUGGAACUGAGACACGGUCCAGACUCCUACGGGAGGCAGCAGUU